UACAGAGGUCCCAAGCGUUGUUCGGAUUCACUGGGCGUAAAGGGUGCGUAGGUGGCCAGGUAAGUUUGGUGUGAAAGCUCGGAGCUUAACUCCGAAAAGUCAUUGAAUACUAUCUGGCUGGAGGGUCGGAGGGGAGACUGGAAUUCUCGGUGUAGCAGUGAAAUGCGUAGAUAUCGAGAGGAACACCAGUGGCGAAGGCGAGUCUCUGGACGACUCCUGACACUGAGGCACGAAAGCUAGGGGAGCAAACAG
RNAcentral lists this ribosomal RNA (252 nucleotides) under uncultured bacterium. RNAcentral's name for it is "partial 16S ribosomal RNA". It matches the Rfam family "Bacterial small subunit ribosomal RNA", at positions 524 to 775 of the family's 1533-position model. The record is from RNAcentral.